Molecule: RNA transcript, 1493 nt
Organism: Hordeum vulgare subsp. vulgare (domesticated barley)
Lineage: Eukaryota; Viridiplantae; Streptophyta; Magnoliopsida; Poales; Poaceae
Exons: 3
Source: RefSeq, a predicted model, not a curated record
CCCUUCCUCCCGAUCCAGUCCCCUCCACUAGAGCCACCAGCUCCCCCCACCUCCGAUCCAGUGCCGCCACCCCAAUCUUCUCCCAGAUCCGGCGCUGCCGCACGCUCACCUCUCCUCCUACUCCCAGAUUCGGAGUAGCCGAGCCUCUCCAAGCCGCCCGCGCUCGCCGACGCAGCCUUCUCCCCGGCACCCGACACCUCUCUCUCACCCACCACCGCCACCGCCUCUCACUCCCGUCGAGCAGAUCAGAUCAGAUCAAGACCUCAGCGCUCAUGUAUCCAGACGGAGCUGGCUGCUGGCAGUUGCACUCCUCUUGCUCCUCCGCUUCCUACUUCCAAGCAUCCAUCCCAUCCCAUCCAUCGUCACAAGCCCCCACGCACCACCAGCAGCGCUGUCUCCGUUGCCCGCCGGCAGCCCUCCUUCCCCCCACAUAUGGUCUGGAGGCGGCUGAUCUCCCGCGCCCGCGGCUACCCUGUCGUCCCUGCCGCCCCGCGGCCCACGCCGUCGCGUCCCCGUCCGCCGGCGGGCCCAGCCGCGGCCGCGGCCUCGCCGCUGCUGCGCCUUCUCCUCCCCCCUCUCCCCGCCUCACCACCGCUUUCUGCCUGCCCCGCUGUAGCGACAGGGUGACUAGUUAUAUGAAUUUCAGCAGCUCUGUGAGGUACAGAGCGACAAGGCAACCAUUGAAAUUACAAGCCAUUUCAAGGGAACGGUACAUCAGAUUCAGUUUGCACCUGGUGACAUAGUAAAGGAAAUGGACUGAUUCCUUUGAAAUUCCUAUGUUGGAAACAGUCCCUUACUCCACUCACGUAACUGUAAAAUGUGUCCCGCUUCUAGGUUUCCAGCACUUGAAUCUUUCGUUAGGAGAGUUUGAAGAUGUUGGUAUAUUCUCAACCAUUGAAUGCUUUUAGUCAUCCUCUUUGCUCGAGUAACAAUGUUCAGAACAACUCUUGUCUAGUCUCCAGGAUAAUAAAUCAAAUUCUUUCAUGUUUCCAAAAAUACUUGUACUCCAUGUUUCCAGAAAACAGUAGCAUCACACAUGUCGAAAAAUACUAUAAUAAAUUAGAAGUAAAAAUACUAGAAUAAAUUAGAAGUGGAUCAUUGCUUGAUUUGUAUACUCGAUGACCAGAACUCGUUCAAGAGCUCUUUAGUCCUUCCAAAACAAGGUCUUGAUGUCCCCCUUACAGAAAAAUGUUGCAUGAUGCGUGUAUGCAUGUUGCGUGUAUGCAUGUUGGAUGGUCACGUUCUAGUGUACUAGCUAGCUAGUAAGCAUUGUUUGGUUAGUGCUCUCCUGCUUGGUUGGCUAAACAUAUUCGUUUGUUUGAUUUGGCUUCACAGCUACAUAUUUUGAUUUGAACUUGGCCUAUGUUUAUGCCCAAUUUAUGUUAAUUAUCUUGAAUGGUGUGGUACCGUGUCUAUGCGCGCACUAAGUGCAUGUCUCUCUCACUUUUGUUCGCAUUUCUUUUAACAUCAUCUUCAGGAUGAACACAAAUCUU